UCCUCGAUGGUCUAGUGGUGAUGAUUUCCGCUUGUCAUUGAAAAGUGCCAAGCGCGGGAGACCAGGGUUCGAUUCCCUGUCGGGGAG
The sequence is a transfer RNA, 87 nucleotides long. It matches the Rfam family "tRNA". From Rfam's summary of the family: Transfer RNA (tRNA) molecules are approximately 80 nucleotides in length. The record is from Rfam.